Molecule: transfer RNA, 69 nt
Filed under: Leptolyngbya sp. SIOISBB
Lineage: Bacteria; Bacillati; Cyanobacteriota; Cyanophyceae; Leptolyngbyales; Leptolyngbyaceae
Description: tRNA-Arg
Rfam family: tRNA
About the family: Transfer RNA (tRNA) molecules are approximately 80 nucleotides in length. Their secondary structure includes four short double-helical elements and three loops (D, anti-codon, and T loops).
Source: RNAcentral
GGGACCUUUGAGGAUUAGCUCUACCGCCUCCUAAGCGGUAGGUCGCGCGUUCGAAUCGCGCCAGUCCCG